CACACUAAGAAAAUUAAAAGGAUGCGCUCUAUACAUGCAGUCGAGCGAAUCGACGGGAGCUUGCUCCCUGAGAUUAGCGGCGGACGGGUGAGUAACACGUGGGCAACCUGCCUAUAAGACUGGGAUAACUUCGGGAAACCGGAGCUAAUACCGGAUACGUUCUUUUCUCGCAUGAGAGAAGAUGGAAAGACGGUUUACGCUGUCACUUAUAGAUGGGCCCGCGGCGCAUUAGCUAGUUGGUGAGGUAAUGGCUCACCAAGGCGACGAUGCGUAGCCGACCUGAGAGGGUGAUCGGCCACACUGGGACUGAGACACGGCCCAGACUCCUACGGGAGGCAGCAGUAGGGAAUCUUCCGCAAUGGACGAAAGUCUGACGGAGCAACGCCGCGUGAACGAAGAAGGCCUUCGGGUCGUAAAGUUCUGUUGUUAGGGAAGAACAAGUACCAGAGUAACUGCUGGUACCUUGACGGUACCUAACCAGAAAGCCACGGCUAACUACGUGCCAGCAGCCGCGGUAAUACGUAGGUGGCAAGCGUUGUCCGGAAUUAUUGGGCGUAAAGCGCGCGCAGGUGGUUCCUUAAGUCUGAUGUGAAAGCCCACGGCUCAACCGUGGAGGGUCAUUGGAAACUGGGGAACUUGAGUGCAGAAGAGGAAAGUGGAAUUCCAAGUGUAGCGGUGAAAUGCGUAGAGAUUUGGAGGAACACCAGUGGCGAAGCGACUUUCUGGUCUGUAACUGACACUGAGCGCGAAAGCGGUGGGGGAGCAAACAGGAUUAGAUACCCUGGUAGUCCACGCCGUAAACGAUGAGUGCUAAGUGUUAGAGGGUUUCCGCCCUUUAGUGCUGCAGCUAACGCAUUAAGCACUCCGCCUGGGGGAGUACGGCCGCAGGCUGAACUCAAGGAAUUGACGGGGGCCCGCCACAAGCGGGUGGGAGCAUGGUGGUUUAUUCCGAAGCACGCGAGAACUUACCAAGUCUGACAUCGUCUGACACCUAGAAGAAUAGGGCUUCCCCGUCGGGGACAGAGUGACCGUGAUGCAUGCUUGUCGUCAGCUCCGUUCAUGAAAUGGUGUUAGUCCCGCAACAGAUGCUACAUGAGUUAAUGGCCAGCACAUUCAGCUUGC
RNAcentral lists this ribosomal RNA (1122 nucleotides) under Bacillus sp. (in: firmicutes). Its description in RNAcentral is "bacterial SSU rRNA". It matches the Rfam family "Bacterial small subunit ribosomal RNA", at positions 1 to 1135 of the family's 1533-position model. The record is from RNAcentral. Lineage: Bacteria; Bacillati; Bacillota; Bacilli; Caryophanales; Bacillaceae.